RNAcentral lists this transfer RNA (75 nucleotides) under Candidatus Heimdallarchaeota archaeon. Its description in RNAcentral is "tRNA-Arg". It matches the Rfam family "tRNA". Rfam says of the family: Transfer RNA (tRNA) molecules are approximately 80 nucleotides in length. The record is from RNAcentral. Lineage: Archaea; Promethearchaeati; Candidatus Heimdallarchaeota.
GAGCCCGUAGCUCAGCAUGGAUAGAACGCUUGCCUUCUAAGCAAGAGGUCGUGGGUUCAAAUCCCACCGGGCUCG